GUGGCUGUGGCUCAGUGGUAGAGUGCUCACCUAGUAAAUGUGAGGCACUGGGUUCAAGCCUCAGCACUACA
This 71-nucleotide transfer RNA is filed under the name Ictidomys tridecemlineatus (thirteen-lined ground squirrel). Its description in RNAcentral is "Spermophilus tridecemlineatus (thirteen-lined ground squirrel) tRNA". It matches the Rfam family "tRNA". From Rfam's summary of the family: Transfer RNA (tRNA) molecules are approximately 80 nucleotides in length. Their secondary structure includes four short double-helical elements and three loops (D, anti-codon, and T loops). Lineage: Eukaryota; Metazoa; Chordata; Mammalia; Rodentia; Sciuridae. The record is from Rfam by way of RNAcentral.